Molecule: RNA transcript, 3250 nt
Organism: Salvia miltiorrhiza (redroot sage)
Lineage: Eukaryota; Viridiplantae; Streptophyta; Magnoliopsida; Lamiales; Lamiaceae
Gene name: general transcription and DNA repair factor IIH subunit TFB4-like
Exons: 17
Source: RefSeq, a predicted model, not a curated record
UAGCUUCUUCUUUAGCGCCGAGACUCUUCAUCUUUGCUCACAUUCUUCAUCUUUUCUUCACUUUGAUACUGUUAAAUUCUCUUCCAUCUUAUUCGUAUUUGUUUUUUUUUUUUUUUUUGAAAUUGUAUUUUGCUAUCUAGCUAGAGUUUACAAAAUAUAGUUUGCCUUUUCCCUUUUCACCGGGCGUCGUUGUUUGCUUCUUCCGGUUGCCAUUGCCCGCCUCGCUUCACGUCAAAAUCAGGCGUAGCCCAUUAUUUAUCGUCGUCUCACUUCCUCCGAUCUCGGCCUAUUCGUCCAGCGAUUUUGUCUCCCCAGCCGGCCUCGCUUCACCUCGAAUGCCCCGUAGCAGCAACCUGCGCCAUUCCCCAUAUCAGGGAGCCCCUUCUCCGGUCUAGGCCCAUUGGUCUGGCAACUCUGUAACAGUUGCCGACGCCUCCUCAACCCAACGACUAAUAGCAGAUAACAGAGGAAAGAUGACCCCUGCCUCAUCCAAGCUUUAUGCAGAUGAUGUGAGCCUGUUGAUGGUACUAAUUGACACGAAUCCAUUCUUUUGGAACUCGGCUCAAUCCAUGCUUCCUUUCUCCAAGUUCUUGACCCAUGUACUUGCAUUUUUGAAUUCUAUACUUUUGCUGAAUCAGAUGAACCAAGUGGUUGUCAUUGCAGCUGGUUAUAAUUCUUGUGGCUACAUAUUUGAUUCCUCAGACCCACAGAGCCAAAAUCAGCGGGCAGAGGAUUUGCUGGAUAAAUUGGAGGAAUUUGUGGACAAUGACCAGGAACUAUGUCGUGAACAGUCUGUGGAUGGCCCUGGGUUCUCACUUUUAUCUGGUUCCCUCUCGAUGGCCCUUUGCUAUAUUCAGAGGGUCUUCCGUACUGUGCUGCUUCAUCCCCAGCCUCGGAUAUUAUGCUUACAUGGAUCUCAAGAUGGACCUGGACAGUAUAUAUGUAGCAAUCAUGAAUUCGAUUUUCUCUGCUCAGCGAUCAAUGGUUCCUAUAGAUGCAUGCGUGAUAGGAGCUCAACACUCUGCUUUCCUACAGCAGGCUUCUUAUAUAACUGGUGGUGUAUAUCUGAAGCCGCAGAUAUUGGACGGAUUGUUUCAGUAUCUUUCGGUGUUUCUGCCACAAAAACACAAUUGAUAUGGGCUACAUUUGCUCUGUUUGUUUAUCUAUAUUCUGCAAGCAUCAGAAGAAAUGUUCUACCUGUGGAUCAGUGUUUGGUCAGGCCCAAACACAGGACUCCUCGACAACAUCGGACCGGAAGAGGAAGACACCAGUGGAUGGUUAGGUCCUCAGCUGCUUUGAGGCUAAUGUCCAUUGGUCUAGGCCCAUUGGUCCGACAACUCUGUAACAGUUGCCGACGCCUCCCCAACCCAACGACUAAUAGCAGGUUGAAGAAAGAUAAGGAAUGUGAGGCAUUGUACAGGGAGAGAUUGCUAUCACUACAAAAAAACAGCUGAAUUGCGACAGAAUUAACGACGGAAUCAAGUUCCGUCAUAAAAUUAUAACAGAUUAACGACAGACCAACGACCACUUACAUUUUCAACAGUUAACGACGGAAUUAGCGACGGAAUUUCCGUCAUAAGUAUUUGCUACGGAAUUAUUCCGUAGUUAAAAUUAAGAAAUAUAUAAUUAUAAAAUAAUUUAAAUUUAACGACAGAAUUAUUCCGUAGUUAAAAUUAAAAAAAUAUAUGAUUUAAAUAAUUAAAUAUUAACGACAGAAUUAUUCCGUAGUUAAAAAUAAAAAAUAUAUAUUAUUUAAAUAAUUAAAAAUUUAGCGACAGAAUUAUUCCGUAGUUAAAAUUAUUAAUUAUUUAAAUAAUUUAAAUUUAAUUACGCUCGUUAAAUUUCAUAUUAUAAGAAAAAAAAAUGGUGGCUUUAUCCCUUUACUCCCCGACUUUCCCCCCUUUUCUCUCUCUACGCCCUAAUCCUCCCCGCCGAGAACCACCACCCCUCUCCAAUUCGUCUCCUUCGAUCCGAUCUGCGCCUCUGGCAAGCUCAUCGCCAUCGCCGCCACCAACGACGACUUCCUCCCCGCCCUCUCUCAGCCUCUAAUUUUCGAUCCGCUCUCCGAAAAAUGGACCCUCGGCCUGUAGCUUGUCUCCGCCCGCCGCUGGUGCGUCGCCGGCGCCUCUCGCGGCGCCGUCUUCGUCGUCAGCGGGAUCGGCUCACAAUACAACAGAGUUAUGAUUUUACUUGUAAGUGGAGGGAAAAGCUCACACCUAUUUUUGUUCACCGAAGAUCUUUUCUUCAUUUAUGGUUAUCACUAGGUUUGGCAAUCUACGUUUAAUACGUCUCAGUUAUGGUUAUCUAUUUCCGCAAAGGUGACAUUUGGUGAAAUUGGAAAUCAAAGGCCAAACUUCCUAGACCAGCUAUCUCAGGGAGAAAAAGAGUGUCCCUACUACAUGCGCACUGGGUCCUGCAAAUAUGGAUUGAAUUGCAGAUAUCAUCAUCCUGAACCUGUCACUGUUGGUGGUGAUUCCACUUCUGGAUAUGGAAAUGGGGGUUCUUUUCCACCACAAUUUGUUUCCUCGUCAUCUCCCUCUUCAUGGUCUUCACCAAGAGCAUUUAAUGAGACUUCUCCAUUCAUACCAGUUAUGUUUCCACCAUCCCAAGGUGCUCCUACUUCAAACCAAGAUUGGAACGGCUAUCAGUGGAUGCCCGAGCUUCGUCGUUUCGCUCCAAAUGUUCCAAUCGUGCUAGUUGGAACAAAGUUAGGGGUUAUCUUGCUGAUCAUAUAGGAGGAUCUAACAUCAUCACCACAGCCCAAGGCGAGGAGCUGAGGAAACAGAUUGGUGCAGCAGCUUACAUAGAAUGCAGCUCCAAGUUAUUAUGUCUAUAAAUCGAUUUACAGGUGGCAAGGAAAGUAUGAAGUCACCAUAUGCAACUUCCAAGUGAGCCAACAAGGAAAUCAUCAGUCAAUGGGUUCAAAGAUCUUUAGUUCGACUGGAAAUCAUCUCCUUGAUCUCUUCGGCGUUUAUUUGGUUUCGACUGUUUGUGUAGCUUAAGACCAUUGGUGUUGGGAAAGAUAUGCAUAUGCAAAGGAGAAAACAAGAAAAUGGCACAUUGUAGAAUUUUUUCAUUACAGUUUUUACCCUUCAACUUUUCUACUCUUUGUUUUACUAGUUGCAGAAAAUGGCACAUUGUAGGUUUGUUGAAUGUUAGCCCUCCAAUUUGUAUGAGAUUAGUUGAAUUUGAAGUUGGUUUGUUGAAUACGUUAAUAGAUGAAUUUCUAUGAUAUUGGAUUGUUAUUGCA